GAAAUGCGAUAAGUAAUGUGAAUUGCAGAAUCAGUGAAUCAUCGAAUUUUUGAACGCAUAUUGCACUCCUUGGCAUUCCUUGGAGUACACUUGUUCGAGCGCCGGUUGCGUCGUAAGGCUUUGCCUUGUGUUGAGAUUUCCUGACCAGGAACUCUCCAAACCCAUGGGCGUCGUCGUACCUGAACCGCAACACAAUGCGACAUUCAGUAGUGGCGACCGCCGAAAACCGUCAUGCAUGGCCUCGAAUCAAGUGGGGAUACCCGCUAAACUUAA
RNAcentral lists this unclassified non-coding RNA (273 nucleotides) under uncultured Leotiomycetes. RNAcentral describes it as "sequence contains ITS1". The stretch from base 1 to 104 matches the Rfam family "5.8S ribosomal RNA", at positions 50 to 154 of the family's 154-position model. Lineage: Eukaryota; Fungi; Ascomycota; Leotiomycetes. The record is from RNAcentral.